This 255-nucleotide ribosomal RNA is filed under the name Escherichia coli. Its description in RNAcentral is "partial 16S ribosomal RNA". It matches the Rfam family "Bacterial small subunit ribosomal RNA", at positions 1 to 252 of the family's 1533-position model. RNAcentral also lists the same sequence under 1 other name. Lineage: Bacteria; Pseudomonadati; Pseudomonadota; Gammaproteobacteria; Enterobacterales; Enterobacteriaceae. The record is from RNAcentral.
AAAUUGAAGAGUUUGAUCAUGGCUCAGAUUGAACGCUGGCGGCAGGCCUAACACAUGCAAGUCGAACGGUAACAGAAAGCAGCUUGCUGCUUUGCUGACGAGUGGCGGACGGGUGAGUAAUGUCUGGGAAACUGCCUGAUGGAGGGGGAUAACUACUGGAAACGGUAGCUAAUACCGCAUAACGUCGCAAGACCAAAGAGGGGGACCUUCGGGCCUCUUGCCAUCGGAUGUGCCCAGAUGGGAUUAGCUAGUAGG